Molecule: ribosomal RNA, 253 nt
Filed under: uncultured bacterium
Lineage: Bacteria
Description: partial 16S ribosomal RNA
Rfam family: Bacterial small subunit ribosomal RNA
Source: RNAcentral
UACGUAGGGUGCAAGCGUUAAUCGGAAUUACUGGGCGUAAAGCGUGCGCAGGCGGUUUUGUAAGACAUGCGUGAAAUCCCCGGGCUCAACCUGGGAAUUGCGCUUGUGACUGCAAAGCUGGAGUGCGGCAGAGGGGGAUGGAAUUCCGCGUGUAGCAGUGAAAUGCGUAGAUAUGCGGAGGAACACCGAUGGCGAAGGCAAUCCCCUGGGCCUGCACUGACGCUCAUGCACGAAAGCGUGGGGAGCAAACAGG